This 62-nucleotide transfer RNA is filed under the name Pulchriphyllium bioculatum. Its description in RNAcentral is "tRNA-Gly". Lineage: Eukaryota; Metazoa; Arthropoda; Insecta; Phasmatodea; Phylliidae. The record is from RNAcentral.
AUUUAUUUAGUAUAAUAGUACUAUUAAUUUCCAAUUAAAAGGUCUGAUAAACAGAAUAAAUA